UGUCUCAAAAAUAAAUAUUUAAAAAAAGUUUUUAAAGAAAUGAUCCCCUCCUCUUUGCCCUCCCAAAUCUGGAAAUCUGUACUCUUUGUGACUUGUACCUCCAGGAGCUUCUGGACAGUAGAGCUGAGGAAAGCAUGUCUACCUGCAUCUACAUAUCUGGUUACAGGAUCUACCCAGAGAUAGAACCUGAUGGACAAAGAGAAAAAAACUCCUGCUGGAAAUCACAGUAUGAGAAGUUACUACAUCAGACCUCAAAGAAAGAAUGCAGUCAAACCUCCGUGAGAAGGACCUUACUAGGUACUGUUAACAACUAACACAACAGGGAACCCAUGCCUCCCAAGUCAAAAGGCAUAAGCCACACGAAAUCCCUGGGACGCUGUCCUGAGACCUCACACAGAGAAAUCUGAGGAAUCAUUCCAGAACAGAUAACAGCAGGAAGUUGCACCUCCCACCCAAGACCAUUGGGACCGCACUGGUAACCACAGGAAGUGCCACCUUCCCUCAAGAUCCACCAGACAAGACCACCAGAGCCACCCGCUGCGGCGCUUUAACCGGCACGUGCUUUUGCUCUUUUCCUUUGUUCUUUCCUCUCUGCAAAGUUAAGGUUUCAGUUAUUAACACUUCUUGUCUGUUAACCAGGAUACCUCCAAGGUCUUUAUCUUUAAUACUCUUUGUUUGUUUGUUUGUUUGUUUGUUUGUUUACCUUAGUCACUCCUCGGUACAAGUCCAGUGCCCGGCUACAACAUGCAAUUAAUUACACUGUC
Molecule: long non-coding RNA, 764 nt
Organism: Herpailurus yagouaroundi (jaguarundi)
Lineage: Eukaryota; Metazoa; Chordata; Mammalia; Carnivora; Felidae
Exons: 2
Source: RefSeq, a predicted model, not a curated record